AGUAACAGUCAUAAUGCAGCCCUAGGCACAAUCCACUACUAUUCACUACAAUCCACAGACAUUGCUAUGGCAGAUUCAAUUAAUUGAAUUCCAACUUGGACAUAUUUUGCUCUGUGUCUCUGUAGGUUGUACUCUCGUAGAAUGUAAUCUGAAGGAGAUCCACGUCUUCUCAGGCCAGUCUGUUCUCCUGCCCUGCACUGACCUCCAAGCUAAACCUCAAAGCCUCACAUGGAACUUCCAAAAACAAAACAGUGAGUGUUGGAUACCAAUAACCCAGAGUGAUCUCUACAGGUACAGCGUGGAUAUUUUAAAUAUUGUGAACUCUCCUGGGAACCUCUCUCUCCACCUCUCACACAUCACUAAGGAGGAUCAUGGGGUGUAAAGGUGUACAAUCAAGGAUAGAGAAGACAGGAACACAUACUGUACAUCAGACUCUUUGUAAAAGGAUGAUCCCUCUGCAAUGUAAUCCAUGGUUGCAGACAGAAACACUGGUUUAGGUGACAAGACAACCACACCACUCAUUACACCAGAUGAUGAUCCCUAUGCAAUGUCUGCUGCCUGUUCACACAAACAUCAAACAAGAGGAGGCAACAACACUCCACAGUGCACCAGAUCAUCAAUCAGUGAUAUACUCCACCAUUGUCCACAUGAAAGGAAAAGGGAAGGCAGCAGUGAGUCUGGAGAUGUCACGGUCGUGAUAAUGGACGGACCAAGAUGCAGCGUGUGUUGAGUUGCAGUGAAAACUUAAAGAAAACAAUAAACAUACAACGACCAUGAACUACGUGGUACUGAAUGCACUCACACAAAACAAUAUCCCACAAACACGGGUGGGAAAAAGGGCUACCUAAAUAUGAUCCCCAAUUAGAGGCAACGAUUACCAGCUGCCUCUAAUUGGGAACCAUACAAACCACCAACAUAGAAAUACAAAUGCUAGAAACCUCCCUAGUGACGCUCUAACCUAUACACAAUAGAGAACUCAGAGGGCUCUCUAUGGUUAGGGUGUGACAGGAGAAGAGUGGAGAAUUUGUGUUUAUUUAACUUUUAUUUAACUAGGUAAGUCAAUUAAGAACAAAUUCUUAUUUACAAUGACGGCAAGAGUAUGCCAGCAUUAAGAUGAGCAGAUCCUCCUAGAGCCAUUAUACAGUAGGCCACAGAAUAUGAGUGGUUAUUGUUACCAUGUAUUACUUAACUGUAAAUAUGUUUCCCUCUUCACAUUAAAAUCUUGAUCUUACAACACAUUUAAAAUACCAUAUGAUAGAAAUCAAAUUUGAUACAAAUUACAUUAUGUAUUUUGUCUUUCACUUUUCUUCUGCUAUAAUACCAUAAAUUAAAUGCAUUCUGUAAAUAUGUACGAUAUAUACAUUUUGUAAAUUAAAUUAAUAUCAUUACUUUUAUUAACAGUGUAAAGAAUCGGGAAAUCUAUGGCAAUAAAGUUUGAACAAAAAGUUCGGUCUUCUCUUCAUUUUGAUAAGUUGUGUUGUUUUAUGUACGUACAUUGGCAAUGUUUAGAAUCAUAGUUCUGCUAAAUUCAUGCUUAGUCUCUAAUGGUGGUACGUGGAGUUAUAUUGCAAUGUGUAACGUCCGCUUCCAACUCACACUCUCAAACACAUAGAUCCCCUAAACGCAGCUCA
This is a long non-coding RNA of Salmo salar (Atlantic salmon), 1631 nucleotides long. RefSeq lists it as uncharacterized. The record is from RefSeq and is a predicted model, not a curated record. Lineage: Eukaryota; Metazoa; Chordata; Actinopteri; Salmoniformes; Salmonidae.